This 5364-nucleotide long non-coding RNA is filed under the name Salvia miltiorrhiza (redroot sage). Its description in RNAcentral is "long non-coding RNA (SMIL_LNC005337)". The record is from RNAcentral. Lineage: Eukaryota; Viridiplantae; Streptophyta; Magnoliopsida; Lamiales; Lamiaceae.
AAGACAUAAACAUCGACAUCUUUAUAAAAGCCAAAGUAUCGGGAUUCUCAUCAUCAUUUACAAAGCAGACAUAGCUCAAUAUUUACAAGGAUUCAAAAUAUGCAGAGCAACACAGCAAAAGGUGAUAAGACUAUAUGUAUGGAGACAUAUAGCUGAGAGUAUAUCACUUGAUUAAGUCUAAGACAAACUCCAAAAUCAAAAUACUACCAUAUGAAAUGAAAAUACGGUAGAUAGUGAACAUUCGAAACAACAAUCCCGCCAACACCAGGCCAUCCUCCAUCUUUGCUUAUCCUGCACAUUUAGAAAUACAUGCAGGGCUUGAGUACAGAAUACUCAGUGGACAUAAGCCGAAAAACAAGAAAGCUGCUCUUAGAGCUAUAAAUUGAACUUGAUAUGAUCCUGGCCGAUCAAAUCGAAUACCACGCAAACGGAAGACUUGAAAACACGAACAGAAGAUGGAAUCUAAAAACCUCUGAAUCUAACCCACGGAAUGAUUUAGGCGAACGAAUCCUUAAACCCCAACAUGAAGUUGACGCAGUAACUCGGGGACGAUGAAUGACACACGACGAGGGAUGGUUGACUCGCCGUUACGCCGGAUAAAUGAACUCUCUUGGAAUAUACAAGAGAAAAUUCGAAACUCUCAAGGAGAAGUGAUAACUCACGAAAUUUGAUAUAAAAUUGGUUGAUAAUUCGUUCAUAACAAGAGGCCUAUAUAUAGGCAACAAUAAAGAGACCUAAUCUAAUAAGGAAACAACUAAACCUAAUCUAAACCCUAAUUUUCGUCCAUCAUAAAGACUAUAAAUAAGGUAUGCGAAAACCUAACCAAACUAGGAGAAUAAACAUGGAAAAUAACUCCUAAUCUAAUAAGGAAACAUAUCCUUAGUCAAAACAAGGUAUAAAACUCAAAAUUGACUCAACUAAGGCCUAAUUUCAGCCACCCUAACAUAACCCACGAAAAAUAUAAGAUAAAACAAAAUAAAAGACUUUAUUAAAUUAGCCCACAUAUGCAACGUAACUUGGGCCUCCAUGGCAUGCAUCAUUCCCCUCCUCUUGAAGGAUUUGUCCUCAAAUCCAAGUCGUCAAUCCAAAUGCCGGGAUCAAAAAUCAAAUUUUCGUUCCUAGCAUUAAUUGACUGUUGGACCAUAGCUUUUCUCCCUUGUGCAUUAAUCUUCUUCUUCGGCUCUAACUCUGACUUCUCUUGAACCUUGAACCGCAACACAAUGAUCAGCCUCUCCUCCUUCAUGGCCCACAUCCAAUCACAAGCCCUUGCAAGAAAUGACUUCUGCAUAAACCCAAUCUCCUUUUUAUCUAUGGGCUGCUCCUUUUCAACGCCCUUAGCUUGCGUCAAAGCCUUUGCUUCCAAAGUAGUUGGAGUAGAUUCCUCAAGCACUUCGUCACUUGAAUCCUUCAAUUUUAGCAACUUAGGAGUAGACUCAUCAUCUUUGACAUCAACCUCUCUAUCAACUUCCACCAACUCAUUUGGAUUCAAACAUGCCUCUUCAUUGAUAUACGCCACGACUUCCACUUCAACAUUCAUCUUCUUUGGAUUCAAACGGUGGCUUGUCUGGUUGAGAGUGACGGUGUCUUCUAGUUGUUGCAUUGGCAAUGACUGAUUCUCUUCAUAGAUCCAAUUAUCCCACUCCCCUCCAAGAUACGAUUUAUGAUCGUGUUUCUUUUGGAUUGAUGGAAUAUUUUUCAACUUGAUAAUCUCAUGAUCCCUUGCUUCAUCUCGCCUUUUCUUGCAGCUAUAAAAUUGUCGAGAAGCAUUCUCGAACUCUUCCUCGUAAGAUUUUUCUUCUUUCAUAAGACCCCUUCGAGGACGCCUAAUUGACUGAAGACAAUUCUGAUUCGGUCUCCGUUGAGAUUGCUCAAUUUGAUCUAACCUCUCAUGAAUAGGCUUAAACGCAUUCUCUAUGAUUCUCUGCAGCUCUUCCACCAUAAAUGUAGGCAAAUCGACUCCAGUCAUACUCCUGAAGAAUUCCUAGGAAUUUAUCAAUUCGUCGCUGAACAGGUCAGCCAACUUCAACCCUUCGUUUUAAGCAUCAAACGUCCUCCAAUCGUAUUUUUCCCAGAAAUACGACUUCUUCGUCUUCGAGAGAGCUUUCUGUGACCACCUGUUUCGCCUUAAUCCGAGCUCUGUACAGAAAGUUAUGGCCGUUUUUCGGAGACUGCCAGAACUUGAUUUCCUGCGAAAAUCUGGAUACGAAACGCGGCUCUGAUACCAAAUGAUAUGAUCCUUGCCGAUCAAACGAACACCACGCAAACGGAAGACUUGAAAGAAACGAACUGAAGAUGGAAACCCAAAACCUCUGAAUCUAACCCACGGAAUGAUUUAGGCGAACGAAUCCCUAAACCCCAACGUGAAGUUGACGCAGCAACUCGGGGACGAUGAAUGACACGCGACGAGGGAUGGUUGACUCGCCGUUACGCCGGAUAAAUGAACUCUCUUGGAAUAUACAAGAGAAAAUUCGAAACUCUCAAGGAGAAGUGAUAACUCACGAAAUUUGAUAUAAAAUUGGUUGAUAAUUCGUUCAUAACAAGAGGCCUAUAUAUAGGCAACAAUAAAGAGACCUAAUCUAAUAAGGAAACAACUAAACCUAAUCUAAACCCUAAUUUUCGUCCAUCAUAAAGACUAUAAAUAAGGUAUGCGAAAACCUAACCAAACUAGGAGAAUAAACAUGGAAAAUAACUCCUAAUCUAAUAAGGAAACAUAUCCUUAGUCAAAACAAGGUAUAAAACUCAAAAUUGACUCAACUAAGGCCUAAUUUCAGCCAACCUAACAUAACCCACGAAAAAUAUAAGAUAAAACAAAAUAAAAGACUUUAUUAAAUUAGCCCACAUAUGCAACGUAACUUGGGCCUCCAUGGCAUGCAUCAGAACUUGCCACAAUAUAAGCAUCACACAGGGAUUUUAGUAUAAACGAACCUGUGCAAGCAAUUUCGCAAACCAAAACAUCACAAUAAAGUAACUGCGCAGUUUAAACAUUCAUCAUGCAUGUACCAUAUACUAUUCAUCAUCAAAGAUACUGAGAAGUAGGCCUCCCUCUCAAGUACCGUGACCGGCCGACCCGAAAGACGGCUCACAGUCACCUCUGUGCACAAGAUCCCGCUUGUGGCAGGACCAAAUUCGUCUCAUCUCAUUAGUAGAGGGUAACAUACAAGUUUAUCAUUAAAACUUGGCAAGUCAAUUAGUUGAAACAUAAAGUUAAGUCAAGUCAUGCAUCAUUGAUAAAUUUUCAUCAAACUGAAACUUAAAUAACAGUUAAAACAUAUUAUUCACUUCAAUAUCGUAUAAGAGGCCUACGAUACGCAGGGGAUCUCUAUAUACGUGUAAUAAAAAUAAUGCCCACCUGUCAGACUUAGCUUACUGCAGGUAGUACUCGGAAUGAUCUCACUUGCGUCCUCGACUGGUAUCUUCAGAUAUCAUCAUCGUAGCAAUUCAUGAGACAAGUUAGAGGAACUAGUUAGAAACUUCCUUUCUAAGAGACUAACCUUAAUCCUACAACUUCGACUUAUCUCAAUCUUACAACUAAUUACUACAUUAAUAAACACUAAUCUUAGUCUCAACUUAUCACUCAAAUAGGGCUAGAUUCAAAACAAUCAAGUACAUAGAAACACAUAGACACAUUAUCACACACAAACGUCAUUCUGCACUGUCCCAAACCAAAAAUUAAACCUGUUUCACCUCGGACCUCUCCUGCAUUCGAGACUCAUAUAAAUGAAAACCUCUUUGAGUCUAGUUUCAUUUAAAAAAAAGUAGGUUGAAAAACUCCAAGUGGUUUGAGAGAUAUGGCCGUUCUCCUACAGUCUACCAUAUCCGGCAGUUUUUCACAACUGAACGUUUUGAUUUUUGAAAAAUAGUAAACAUCUCCUAAAUGGCUUGAAAUUUGGUGGGUAGCUAGCUAACACAAUAACCUCUUUACCAUAAAAAUUUGGAAGGUAAAACCUUUCGGAAAGCUACUGAAAAAGGUAGCUCUAGGGUCUGUUCUGAAAACUUUUGGGUAGAAAGUUGCAGUUGGAGUUUUACAUUUUAGAAAAAUAGUAACUGAAGUCCAAAUGACUUGAAAUUUUACGAGUGUAUUCAAACCUCUCGUAUACACUCACCAUAAAAUUUUUAAAACUUUUGGGUAACAAAAACCCUUCGAAAACAGUAGGUCAGUGGAGUCUCAGAAUAACUCCAAACUUGAACAUAAAAGUAAAAGUCUCAUCUCCAAACUCCGUUGAUGAAAAAUUCUCAAAAAUUCAAAAUAAACUCUUAUAACACCCAAGAACAUAAAUAUACAAUCAUACGACUCAAGAAAAAAUCAAACUCGACUUCUCCUCAUCAUUUUCGGUCCUCUCAUAUAAUUUUAGGGGAUGGUUCGUUUCAUCUCAAAUCGCAUAUACGAGCUCAAAUAAUCAUCACAUAGCCAUAUAUGUUCACAUUUAACACUCAACUCAUCGCAUAUGAGAGAUCUCAUGUAAACAUACAAACUAAGCUCGGUGAAAAAUUACAAUUCAUUGAGAAUUCAUAAACUAAUUAUGUCAUGGUCCUAUUUAGGUUCCAAAUAAGUUAUAAACAUUAUCAAUUCAAGUAGGGAUCUCAUAAAUCAUGAAUACCCAAAUUUUAGUUAACUAAACUUAAGUGAAAUCACAUAAAAGCAACAAUUAAACAAAUUGAUCAUGGAUACUUAGUCUAAACAUGUUUUUAAUCAAUUAAUCAUAGUCAAUUUAAGCUUAUGUCUCAUAGAUUAAAAGUCUAAAUUUUAGUCAAACUACUUUUUAGAAAAUCAUUGAUCAUGCUCAAUUAACCAAUUAAAACUUAGAUCUAAGCAAUUAGCUCACUCAAACAUAAAUAUAAGCAUUCACAUAACCAUUUCAAGCACAUAAGUAAAAAUACCUAAUUUUCCAUCAAACUAACUUAUUCCAACUUCCAUCCAUCACUUCCAAUCAUCAAUCCGAUCCAUCAAUUAUCAUAUUAACCUCUUCAUCAAUCAAUCCUCAAAUUCAAGAAUACCCAAAAUUAGAUAAACUAAAUUAACUCAAAAUCCAUAAUCCAAUUUAAAUUCAUUCUUUGCAUUUAGAAAAGGACUAAAUAGGAUCCCAAUAGCAUAAAUAUAAUCUCAAUUUAAGAAUAGAAGAUGAAUUUUUUUGAAGGGUAUCAACCCCAAUUUUUCAAAAAUAAUGAAAAAAUAAAGGUGAGAUUUUUCAUGCUAUUUUCAUCCAUAUAAACACAUAUAUAACUCAAAUAUGAUUAGAUCUAAGUAAAUCUAGCACUUACUCAAGGUUUACGAGUAGAAAAAUAAAAUCUCCUCUUCUUGACUCAAGCUUUAAAAUCCUCCAAAGUUGCUCUUGAUUCAUGGAUAUGAAGUUUAUGCUUUGAUUU